RNAcentral lists this ribosomal RNA (354 nucleotides) under Triticum aestivum (bread wheat). RNAcentral describes it as "partial small subunit ribosomal RNA". The record is from RNAcentral. Lineage: Eukaryota; Viridiplantae; Streptophyta; Magnoliopsida; Poales; Poaceae.
CUCCCUGCGGUUUGGUCCAUCCGCCUGCCACUGAAAAUCCGGAUAUUCAUGUGGCAAUGGAUCCGCGGAAGGAUUCCGUCGGGGGUGGAGGUCCGCAAACGCAAUGGCCCUGGGUCCGACCUCUGUCCUUUGUGUGGUACCCCCGAAGAUUCGAAUCACAUCUUCUUCUCCUGUGUCUCAGCUCAAUUCAUGUGGAGCUGCUUUAGGGAGGUUGUGGGAGGUGAUUGGUGUCACACCAACUUCCCGACCUCUUCGCCGAACUCCAGAACUCCCCUCUGCCCUCUCGCCACAUUAGGUGGCUCGAGGUUGGGGUGCUCGCGUGGACUCUUUGGACGAUUCGCAAUAAGCUUGUGA